UACAGAGGUCCCAAGCGUUGUUCGGAUUCACUGGGCGUAAAGGGUGCGUAGGUGGCCAGGUAAGUUUGGUGUGAAAGCUCGGAGCUUAACUCCGAAAAGUCAUUGAAUACUAUCUGGCUGGAGGGUCGGAGGGGAGACUGGAAUUCCCGGUGUAGCAGUGAAAUGCGUAGAUAUCGUGAGGAAGGCCAGUGGCGAAGGCGGAUCUCUGGACAGUUCCUGACACUGAGGCACGAAGGCCAGGGGAGCAAACGGG
RNAcentral lists this ribosomal RNA (253 nucleotides) under uncultured bacterium. RNAcentral's name for it is "partial 16S ribosomal RNA". It matches the Rfam family "Bacterial small subunit ribosomal RNA", at positions 524 to 776 of the family's 1533-position model. The record is from RNAcentral.